RNAcentral lists this transfer RNA (70 nucleotides) under Dipodomys ordii (Ord's kangaroo rat). It matches the Rfam family "tRNA". Rfam says of the family: Transfer RNA (tRNA) molecules are approximately 80 nucleotides in length. Their secondary structure includes four short double-helical elements and three loops (D, anti-codon, and T loops). The record is from Rfam by way of RNAcentral. Lineage: Eukaryota; Metazoa; Chordata; Mammalia; Rodentia; Heteromyidae.
GGAAAUGUGGUUUAGUGGUAGAGUGCUUGCCUUUCAUGCAUGAAGCCGUGGAUUCGAUUCUUUAGUACCA